Molecule: long non-coding RNA, 445 nt
Organism: Peromyscus eremicus (cactus mouse)
Lineage: Eukaryota; Metazoa; Chordata; Mammalia; Rodentia; Cricetidae
Exons: 3
Source: RefSeq, a predicted model, not a curated record
CUCUGAGGCUACCACUGUCACGCUAGAAGGUUCCAUGUCGUCUGGUAUUUUCUGUGCCUGUGCUUCUAGCAGCCUGGACACCUGUAAACCCCACAUCCAGUGGCUAAGUGAGGGCUGUAACACAGAGGACAGUGACCAGGACAGGACUAAAAAUCUGGCGUGGAAAAGACUUGGGUCUUUAUCAUCCUACUCUCCAAGUCUCCAAGAGGUCUGUGGAACCCUGGACAGAGCCUCUGGGGUUGGCACCACAGAAGAGACCUGAAGUUCUUUACAUCAUUAAGUUCAGCAGAGCUGUGGACAGCCCUUCGCCUGGAAACAGCUUCUUACACCAAGGAAGACCCUAGACUGCCUGAGUCCCUCUGGAGUCCCUGCUUCCCAAGACGGCCAGAGAGAAUGCCAAGGACCGAUCGGAAAUGGUUUGAGUGUCAACAGUGAUCCGCUAGAG